This 454-nucleotide ribosomal RNA is filed under the name uncultured marine bacterium 106. Its description in RNAcentral is "bacterial SSU rRNA". It matches the Rfam family "Bacterial small subunit ribosomal RNA", at positions 1077 to 1533 of the family's 1533-position model. The record is from RNAcentral.
UGGGUAGUCCGCACGAGCGCACCCUGUCUCUAGUUGCCAUCAGUUCGGCUGGGCACUCUAGGGAGACUGUCGGUUAUAAGCCGGAGGAAGGUGGGGACGACGUCAAGUCAUCAUGGCCUCUAUGCCCAGGGCUACACACGUGCUACAAUGGCCGGCACAAAGGGCUGCGAACCCGUGAGGGGGAGCCAAUCCCAAAAAUCCGGUCCCAGUUCGGAUUGAAGUCUGCAACUCGACUUCAUGAAGUUGGAAUCGCUAGUAAUCGUGGAUCAGCAAUGCCACGGUGAAUACGUUCCCGGGCCUUGUACACACCGCCCGUCACAUCACGAAAGCCGGGUGUACUAGAAGUCGCCGACCCAACCUUCGGGAGGGAGGCGCCGACGGUGUGCUCGGUGAUUGGGGUGAAGUCGUAACAAGGUAGCUGUAGGAGAACCUGCGGCUGGAUCACCUCCUUUCU